Molecule: ribosomal RNA, 410 nt
Filed under: uncultured bacterium
Lineage: Bacteria
Description: bacterial SSU rRNA
Rfam family: Bacterial small subunit ribosomal RNA
Source: RNAcentral
UUUAACGCGAAAAAGGCCUUACCCACCUUUGACAUGGCAGGAACUUACCAGAGAUGGUUUGGUGCUCGAAAGAGAACCUGCACACAGGUGCUGCAUGGCUGUCGUCAGCUCGUGUCGUGAGAUGUUGGGUUAAGUCCCGCAACGAGCGCAACCCUUGCCAUUAGUUGCUACAUUCAGUUGAGCACUCUAAUGGGACUGCCGGUGACAAACCGGAGGAAGGUGGGGAUGACGUCAAGUCCUCAUGGCCCUUAUAGGUGGGGCUACACACGUCAUACAAUGGCUGGUACAAAGGGUUGCCAACCCGCGAGGGGGAGCUAAUCCCAUAAAGCCAGUCGUAGUCCGGAUCGCAGUCUGCAACUCGACUGCGUGAAGUCGGAAUCGCUAGUAAUCGGGAUCAGGAAGGGCCCCCC